UCAGCUGUGUGUCCCCUACCCUCGCUCUAACACCACAGUGUGGUUUGGACGUGGCCACAGUGCCGUACAAACCACAGUGUGCUGCUGGGGCGGGAGCAGGACUGGCUGGGAUGGAUUGAGAGGAAAAUA
Dipodomys ordii (Ord's kangaroo rat) is the source of this 129-nucleotide microRNA precursor. Lineage: Eukaryota; Metazoa; Chordata; Mammalia; Rodentia; Heteromyidae. The record is from Ensembl.